GAGAGUGGGUAGUCCGCACGAGCGCACCUUACUUUUAGUUGCCAUCAUUUAGUUGGGCACUCUGAAAGAACUGCCAGUGAUAAGCUGGAGGAAGGUGGGGAUGACGUCAAGUCCUCAUGGCCCUUACGUGUUGGGCUACACACGUGCUACAAUGGCAUCUACAACAGGAAGCAAAACGGCAACGUUAAGCAAAUCCCGAAAAGAUGCCUCAGUUCGGAUUGCACUCUGCAACUCGAGUGCAUGAAGCUGGAAUUACUAGUAAUCGCGGAUCAGCGUGCCGCGGUGAAUACGUUCCCGGGUCUUGUACACACCGCCCGUCACACCAUGGGAGUUGGUUCUACCCUAAGGCAAAGCUUAAAACCUUUGACCACGGUAUAGUCAGCGACUGGGGUGAAGUCGUAACAAGGUAGCCGUAGGGGAACCUGCGGCUGGAUUACCUCCUUUCU
This 446-nucleotide ribosomal RNA is filed under the name uncultured Pelagibacterales bacterium. RNAcentral describes it as "bacterial SSU rRNA". It matches the Rfam family "Bacterial small subunit ribosomal RNA", at positions 1072 to 1533 of the family's 1533-position model. Lineage: Bacteria; Pseudomonadati; Pseudomonadota; Alphaproteobacteria; Candidatus Pelagibacterales. The record is from RNAcentral.